AACACAAAUUGUACUUUCCAGUAUUCUGGGAAGUAUGCUUGGUUGAGGGUCAUUAAAUAACAUUCGUGAAUUUUUUUGCGGAUUUGAGUUUUCCAGUAUUUAUAAAAAUGUUGGUAACUUUAAAAUUAUUAUUACUUGGUACAAGUUGAAGACGUUCUAUAUGUGUGGUUCGCUGACAACUUGACCAUCAUCAUAUAUUAUGCGCGCACUUGGUUUUUAUGCUCUGUGCGAGUAUAUAUUUUUUUUAUGACCUCAGCUCAAGUAAGAAUACCCGCUGAACUUAA
RNAcentral lists this unclassified non-coding RNA (284 nucleotides) under uncultured Diversisporaceae. Its description in RNAcentral is "sequence contains ITS2". Lineage: Eukaryota; Fungi; Glomeromycota; Glomeromycetes; Diversisporales. The record is from RNAcentral.